Stylophora pistillata is the source of this 290-nucleotide long non-coding RNA. NCBI's taxonomy places the organism in Eukaryota, Metazoa, Cnidaria, Anthozoa, Scleractinia, Pocilloporidae. The record is from RefSeq and is a predicted model, not a curated record.
AACAACAGCCUCGUGGCCCUGUUUCCUGAUCAGUUCCAAGGCCUAUCUAAACUAAAAGACCUGGCUGUUUAUGACAACAAUAUCGAAAAUCUGCCGCGCGGAGUUUUUAAGGACGCGAAACAGAUUAGGUCUAUGAGUUUUUAUCGAAACAAAAUCACUGAAAUAACUAAUGAACAAUUCAAAGAUGUCGCGCCGAACAUUCGAUUCUUGUACUUUCAUUACAACGACAUGCGGGAGUUACCAGAUGGUUUUUUUUCUAAUAUGAAAGAAUUAAUAACAGCGUAAGUCAG